Rhopilema esculentum is the source of this 653-nucleotide non-coding RNA. The record is from RefSeq and is a predicted model, not a curated record. Lineage: Eukaryota; Metazoa; Cnidaria; Scyphozoa; Rhizostomeae; Rhizostomatidae.
UAAAAAGACACCCACCUUCUAUUGUCGAGCCGAGCUAUAAGUAAGAGAGGAAACUCUACAGCUUUCAAGUUUUGGCUCGUUUCUUGCUCUGUUGCUGUCAGCUUUGGGAAUUGAGUGAACAUCUCCAUACAGUUGUAGAACUGAAGCUAUUUGCAACAUUGCCAACAUGAAAACUCUUAGCCUUCUCCUGUUCCUGGCAAUUGGAAUUUUGGCCGUUUACGGAGAAACAGUUGAAAAUGAUCCAAUUGAUGACUUUGAUUCAGAUCCAGAAGCUUUGGACGAAGAUGCAUUGGAAGAUUCUGAAAAUGACGCAGUGGAAGAAAACGCUGAAGCUGACCCUUUGAAUCCUAUAUCGUUCUACUGUAAAUAUUGCCGCACAUGCAGUAUCUACAGGAGACACUGUAGCCGCAAUCGUUGCCAUAGCUGGACCAAACAUACGAUGAAUCACUCCUGUCGCCUUUGCAAGUACUGUAAUCCUCGUUAUUACGCCAACCUGCUCAAGCAGCAUCAGAGAAGAAUCGUCAGAAGUGUCAAAAGAAUUUUCAGAAGAUGGGGCUAGCCCGUGUAUUUGAAUAAUUCCAUCGGACAAUUUCAAAACUUCUUUUCUGCACAUUUUAUACUGUUUACAUCUAAAGUGUUAUUUUUGCAAAUAA